RNAcentral lists this microRNA precursor (119 nucleotides) under Oryza sativa (Asian cultivated rice). Its description in RNAcentral is "miR166h stem-loop (osa-MIR166h)". Its record names the gene osa-MIR166h. It matches the Rfam family "mir-166 microRNA precursor family". Rfam says of the family: This family represents the plant microRNA (miRNA) precursor mir-166. Animal miRNAs are transcribed as ~70nt precursors and subsequently processed by the Dicer enzyme to give a ~22nt product. RNAcentral also lists the same sequence under 1 other name. The record is from miRBase by way of RNAcentral. Lineage: Eukaryota; Viridiplantae; Streptophyta; Magnoliopsida; Poales; Poaceae.
GGUGGCUUGUGGGGAAUGUUGGCUGGCUCGAGGUAUCCACAUCUUAAUUCCUCUCCGGCGAUCGAGCCGGCUCGGGCGUGUGGAAGCGUCGGACCAGGCUUCAUUCCUCGCAAGCCGAU